AGAAUUUGAUCUGGUUCAGGAUGAACGCUAGCUACAGGCUUAACACAUGCAAGUCGAGGGGUAGCAGGGUAGCAAUACCGCUGACGACCGGCGCACGGGUGAGUAACACGUAUCCAACCUUCCCAUAACUCAGGGAUAGCCUUUCGAAAGAAAGAUUAAUACCUGAUAGUACUUUUUCAAGGCAUCUUGAAAAAGUUAAAGAUUUAUUGGUUAUGGAUGGGAUGCGUUCCAUUAGAUAGUGGUGAGGUAACGGCUCACCAAGUCUUCGAUGGAUAGGGGGUUCUGAGAGGAAGGUCCCCCACAUUGGUACUGAGACACGGACCAAACUCCUACGGGAGGCAGCAGUGAGGAAUAUUGGUCAAUGGGCGAGAGCCUGAACCAGCCAAGUAGCGUGAAGGAAUGAAGGUCCUAUGGAUUGUAAACUUCUUUUAUAGUAGAAUAAAGUGAGCCACGUGUGGUUUUUUGUAUGUAUACUAUGAAUAAGGAUCGGCUAACUCCGUGCCAGCCGCUGC
This 512-nucleotide ribosomal RNA is filed under the name uncultured bacterium. Its description in RNAcentral is "bacterial SSU rRNA". It matches the Rfam family "Bacterial small subunit ribosomal RNA", at positions 8 to 518 of the family's 1533-position model. The record is from RNAcentral.